CAUUAUUUGACGUUUAGCGACAGAAGAAGCACCGGCUAACUCCGUGCCAGCAGCCGCGGUAAUACGGAGGGGUGCGAGCGUUAAUCGGAAUUACUGGGCGUAAAGACGCAUGCAGGUGGUUUGUUUAAGUUCAGAUGUGAAGACCCGGGGCGUCAACCUCGGAAUAGCAUUUGAAACUAGGCAGACUAGAGUACUGUAGAGGGGGGUAGGAAGUUUUCAGGUGUAGCGGUGAAAUGCGUAGAGAUCUGAAGGAAUACCGAUGGCGAAGGCGGCCCCCUCGGACAGAUACUGACACUCAGAUGCGAAAGCGUGGGGAGCAAACAGGAUUAGAUACCCUGGUAG
RNAcentral lists this ribosomal RNA (342 nucleotides) under uncultured bacterium. RNAcentral's name for it is "bacterial SSU rRNA". It matches the Rfam family "Bacterial small subunit ribosomal RNA", at positions 463 to 793 of the family's 1533-position model. The record is from RNAcentral.